This 774-nucleotide ribosomal RNA is filed under the name uncultured Neocallimastigales. RNAcentral's name for it is "partial large subunit ribosomal RNA". It matches the Rfam family "Eukaryotic large subunit ribosomal RNA", at positions 23 to 616 of the family's 3401-position model. Lineage: Eukaryota; Fungi; Neocallimastigomycota; Neocallimastigomycetes; Neocallimastigales. The record is from RNAcentral.
AGAGAGAGACAUGCGCGCAUAUCAAUAAGCGGAGGAAAAGAAACUAACAAGGAUUCCCCUAGUAACGGCGAGUGAAGCGGGAAGAGCUCAAAUUUGAAAUCUUCAAGGGUUUACCUUUACGAAUUGUAGUUUAAAGAAGUGUUUUCUGUUGAGGUUUCGGUAAAAGUUCUUUGGAAUAGGACAUCAUAGAGGGUGAGAAUCCCGUAUUUGACCUUUACUUUCAACUUUGUGAUACACUUUCAAAGAGUCGGAUUGUUUGGGAAUGCAGUCCAAAAUGGGUGGUAAAUUUCAUCUAAAGCUAAAUAUUGGCGAGAGACCGAUAGCGAACAAGUACCGUGAGGGAAAGAUGAAAAGAACUUUGAAAAGAGAGUUAAACAGUACGUGAAAUUGUCAAAAGGGAAGCGUUUGACACCAGUGUUGUUUUUCUGAAAAUCAAUUAAAGAACUGUUUAUGCUAAGUUGUUUAGACUUUAUCAGCUAACUGUUUAGUUUUGAGCUUUUCUUUAAUGCACUUUUCAGUUAACAAGUCAACAUCAAUUUCUUUUGCUGUAAAAAAGCUUGAGGAAGGUGGCUUGAGAUUCGUCUUAAGUGUUUAUAGCCUCUUGCCUAUGCAGUCGGAGAGAUUGAGGUCUGCAGCGUAGAUCCUUCGGGGCUAAAUGCAUUUGUGCUAAGUUAUAGCAUUUUAUAGACAACUUGUUGACUAUGAUUUGUCUUGUAGCUUACUCGCUUAUGUUAUUUUACCUACGCUUAGGAUGUUGAGCGCAUGUCUCUCUCU